This is a non-coding RNA of Electrophorus electricus (electric eel), 570 nucleotides long. The record is from RefSeq and is a predicted model, not a curated record. Lineage: Eukaryota; Metazoa; Chordata; Actinopteri; Gymnotiformes; Gymnotidae.
GACACAGGGGUAGUUGGUCGUAGUAACACUUGUAUUGUUGGAUUUCUGGUGAAUACAACUUGCACAAAACAUAGCUGGAAUAAUCUCUAUACAUUUCUGCAGGAAAUUCAGAAGCAUCCGCCCCAGAGCACCCGCCAGCUAAGCCCAUCAGAAGCUGUUGUUCGUAGCAAUGAAGUGCAGAUUGUAUGCUCCAAGGCAUGGAGCAGCUCACUGGGCUCUCUCAUCACAAGAAAGCCCCAGGAAUACAUUAAAAGGUAAUGAGAGAUCAGUCAGAAGAGGGUCAUGCAGGGGCACUGCUUGGCAUCGUGGUGCUGGAGAGAGCUUUCAGCAUGAUGGGCUUGUCAUCUCUGUUGAGGAGCCAGAAGGGGUGGAGUUCAACAAUGUUGCUCAUGGCAACAGUUUCUAAGCCUUGCUUCUUGUUGAUGUGGUUAUUUGUAAAUCAACACUGCAUGCAUGAGAUUAGCAAGGCCAAUAUACAAUGAAGCUCUCAUGUAUUUAUGUAACAUGUAUGUACUUGUACUAUGUAAAAUGCGUCCUAAAAUUAAUUUGAAUAAACAUUUUAAUCAGGUC